Molecule: ribosomal RNA, 497 nt
Filed under: uncultured bacterium
Lineage: Bacteria
Description: partial 16S ribosomal RNA
Rfam family: Bacterial small subunit ribosomal RNA
Source: RNAcentral
GAUGAACGCUGGCGGCGUGCCUAAUACAUGCAAGUCGAGCGAACAGAUGAGGAGCUUGCUCCUCUGACGUUAGCGGCGGACGGGUGAGUAACACGUGGAUAACCUACCUAUAAGACUGGGAUAACUUCGGGAAACCGGAGCUAAUACCGGAUAAUAUAUUGAACCGCAUGGUUCAAUAGUGAAAGACGGUUUUGCUGUCACUUAUAGAUGGAUCCGCGCCGCAUUAGCUAGUUGGUAAGGUAACGGCUUACCAAGGCAACGAUGCGUAGCCGAGCUGAGAGGGUGAUCGCCCACACUGGAACUGAGACACGGUCCAGACUCCUACGGGAGGCAGCAGUAGGGAAUCUUCCGCAAUGGGCGAAAGCCUGACGGAGCAACGCCGCGUGAGAGAUGAAGGUCUUCGGAUCGUAAAACUCUGUUAUUAGGGAAGAACAUAUGUGUAAGUAACUAAGCACGUCUUGACGGUACCUAAUCAGAAAGCCACGGCUAACUACGUG